GGCGAACGCUGGCGGCGUGCCUAAUACAUGCAAGUUGAGCGCUGAAGGUUGGUACUUGUACCAACUGGAUGAGCAGCGAACGGGUGAGUAACGCGUGGGGAAUCUGCCUUUGAGCGGGGGACAACAUUUGGAAACGAAUGCUAAUACCGCAUAAAAACUUUAAACACAAGUUUUAAGUUUGAAAGAUGCAAUUGCAUCACUCAAAGAUGAUCCCGCGUUGUAUUAGCUAGUUGGUGAGGUAAAGGCUCACCAAGGCGAUGAUACAUAGCCGACCUGAGAGGGUGAUCGGCUACAUUGGGACUGAGACACGGCCCAAACUCCUACGGGAGGCAGCAGUAGGGAAUCUUCGGCAAUGGACGAAAGUCUGACCGAGCAACGCCGCGUGAGUGAAGAAGGUUUUCGGAUCGUAAAACUCUGUUGGUAGAGAAGAACGUUGGUGAGAGUGGAAAGCUCAUCAAGUGACGGUAACUACCCAGAAAGGGACGGCUAACUACGUG
RNAcentral lists this ribosomal RNA (497 nucleotides) under uncultured bacterium. RNAcentral describes it as "partial 16S ribosomal RNA". It matches the Rfam family "Bacterial small subunit ribosomal RNA", at positions 28 to 507 of the family's 1533-position model. The record is from RNAcentral.